CUGACUGGUAGUGUGUGACCCUUGGACUGGACUCUGGACUACUCCUUUGCAUAUGCCCCUGCUGCGCUGCCCUCAGUAGAGGUGCAAUCCUAUGCAUGUCUAUUCAGACGGACAGAGAGACAGACUGAAGAGUGAGCAUGAGGACAGAAAACACAGACCAGCAAAGAAGAAGUGAAAGUUACCUUUGGAAGAUUGGGACAUGGGGAAUACUAUGAUCAUUGCUGAAGCCCGAUGGUGAACUACCUAUAAAGUAAAAAGUAACAAUAAAAUAACAUCUUGUGGCAGAAUAUCACAUCUGCUAAAACAUCUGUAGUUUCAAUAGAGCAAGAACAGUUUUUAUGGAAAUGAGUUAUAAUCUGUUGUUUUUAUUUCUCUUGAAAAGUAAUUAGAAAAAGUAAGUUCUAAUUCUGCAUAAUUUUGAUUGUCCACACAUACUAAUUGCUCUCUAGAAAUCCACAGUGCAGUGCCUGUUAAAGCAUCUCACCCUUUCCAUUUAAUCUUUUACAUUCUUUCCCAGGGAAUUCUGAAUUUUGAAAACAGACACUUUUUGCACUCAUGGAAAAAGCAAUAUUUACUUUACAAGGAACUGUACUCAGAAAUAUUCAAUCCAAGACAAUAAAGGAGAUAAUAAAGGGAAUCUGAAACAUAGCCUUUUCAGUUCAGGAACAAAGACAAAGGAUCUUUCUAUAUACUUUGGUGGAUUAUUAGCCUAUGAAAGGAGGAGACUUAGGUUGCUUGUGAAUCAAAGGAAAUCUUUGGAAUAUGUGAUUAUCUUUAAUAUACAUGGUGUCACAUCACAUUUAUCCCAGUCAAGCUGAGGCUUGUUUCAGAAUGAAUGGGGUAGAUGCUGGACUUCUGGGAUAUUAGAGGCAUUAGCAUUUUUUCCCUUCAAAACCAGAAUUUUGUGUUUGGAUUUCAGAACAGUGCAGUUCUUUAAAAUUUUAUUAAUUCCUCCUCAUUUUCCCCACUAAUAUGUGACAGUUCCUUUCUUUCAAA
This is a long non-coding RNA of Sceloporus undulatus (fence lizard), 996 nucleotides long. RefSeq lists it as uncharacterized. The record is from RefSeq and is a predicted model, not a curated record. The transcript has 3 exons. NCBI's taxonomy places the organism in Eukaryota, Metazoa, Chordata, Lepidosauria, Squamata, Phrynosomatidae.